GACGAACGCUGGCGGCGUGCCUAAUACACGCAAGUCGAGCGAAGUUUUUCUGGUGCUUGCACCGGAAAAACUUAGCGGCGAACGGGUGAGUAACACGUAAAGAACCUGCCUCAUAGACUGGGACAACUAUUGGAAACGAUAGCUAAUACCGGAUAACAGCAUUAACUGCAUGGUUGAUGUUUAAAAGUUGGUUUUGCUAACACUAUGAGAUGGCUUUGCGGUGCAUUAGCUAGUUGGUGGGGUAAAGGCCUACCAAGGCGACGAUGCAUAGCCGACCUGAGAGGGUGAUCGGCCACACUGGGACUGAGACACGGCCCAGACUCCUACGGGAGGCAGCAGUAGGGAAUCUUCCGCAAUGGGCGAAAGCCUGACGGAGCAACGCCGCGUGAGUGAAGAAGGAUUUCGGUUCGUAAAGCUCUGUUGUUAGGGAAGAAUGAUUGUGUAGUAACUAUACACAGUAGAGACGG
RNAcentral lists this ribosomal RNA (467 nucleotides) under Gemella haemolysans. RNAcentral's name for it is "bacterial SSU rRNA". It matches the Rfam family "Bacterial small subunit ribosomal RNA", at positions 28 to 475 of the family's 1533-position model. The record is from RNAcentral. Lineage: Bacteria; Bacillati; Bacillota; Bacilli; Caryophanales; Gemellaceae.